UCGAGAAUCUUCGGCAAUGGGCGAAAGCCUGACCGAGCGACGCCGCGUGAGGGAAGAAGGCCUUCGGGUUGUAAACCUCUUUCGUAGAGGAGGAAGGGGCCGUGCAGAGCGGUCUUUGACCUAUUCUAGGAAGAAGCUUGGGCUAAGUUCGUGCCAGCAGCCGCGGUAAGACGAACCAAGCGAACGUUAUUCGGAAUUACUGGGCUUAAAGCGCGUGUAGGCGGAUGACCACGUCAGUCGUUGAAAUCCCCCGGCUCAACCGGGGAACAGGCGCUGAUACGAGUUGUCUGGAGGUGGGUAGGGGAGACUGGAACUUCCGGUGGAGCGGUGAAAUGCGUUGAGAUCGGAAGGAACGCCCGCGGCGAAAGCGAGUCUCUGGACCCAUUCUGACGCUGAGACGCGAAAGCCAGGGGAGCAAACGGG
Molecule: ribosomal RNA, 423 nt
Filed under: uncultured bacterium
Lineage: Bacteria
Description: bacterial SSU rRNA
Rfam family: Bacterial small subunit ribosomal RNA
Source: RNAcentral